Molecule: ribosomal RNA, 458 nt
Filed under: uncultured bacterium
Lineage: Bacteria
Description: partial 16S ribosomal RNA
Rfam family: Bacterial small subunit ribosomal RNA
Source: RNAcentral
CCUACGGGUGGCAGCAGUGAGGAAUAUUGGUCAAUGGGCGAGAGCCUGAACCAGCCAAGUCGCGUGAGGGAGUAAUGCCCUAUGGGUUGUAAACCUCUUUUGUCGGGGAGCAAAAGCCGGACGUGUCCGGCGGUGCGAGUACCCGAAGAAAAAGCAUCGGCCAACUCCGUGCCAGCAGCCGCGGGAAUACGGAGGAUGCGGGCGUUAUCCGUUUUUGUUGGUUUUAAAGGGUGCGCAUGCGGAUUUUUAAGUCAGUGGUCAAAUCGUGGGGCUCAACCCCAUCCAGCCGUUGAAACUGGGGAUCUAGAGUGUGCGAGAGGUAUGCGGAAUGCGUGGUGUAGCGGUGAAAUGCAUAGAUAUCACGCAGAACCCCGAUUGCGAAGGCAGCAUACCGGUGCACAACUGACGCUCAGGCACGAAAGCGUGGGUAUCGAACAGGAUUAGAUACCCCUGUAGUC